GAUGAACGCUGGCGGCGUGCCUAAUACAUGCAAGUCGAGCGAACAGACGAGGAGCUUGCUCCUCUGACGUUAGCGGCGGACGGGUGAGUAACACGUGGAUAACCUACCUAUAAGACUGGGAUAACUUCGGGAAACCGGAGCUAAUACCGGAUAAUAUAUUGAACCGCAUGGUUCAAUAGUGAAAGACGGUUUUGCUGUCACUUAUAGAUGGAUCCGCGCCGCAUUCGCUAGUUGGUAAGGUAACGGCUUACCAAGGCAACGAUGCGUAGCCGACCUGAGAGGGUGAUCGGCCACACUGGAACUGAGACACGGUCCAGACUCCUACGGGAGGCAACAGUAGGGAAUCUUCCGCAAUGGGCGAAAGCCUGACGGAGCAACGCCGCGUGAGUGAUGAAGGUCUUCGGAUCGUAAAACUCUGUUAUUAGGGAAGAACAAAUGUGUAAGUAACUAUGCACGUCUUGACGGUACCUAAUCAGAAAGCCACGGCUAACUACGUG
This 497-nucleotide ribosomal RNA is filed under the name uncultured bacterium. RNAcentral's name for it is "partial 16S ribosomal RNA". It matches the Rfam family "Bacterial small subunit ribosomal RNA", at positions 28 to 507 of the family's 1533-position model. The record is from RNAcentral.